UACAUUAUAUAAAUUGAAGGCUUGUCCAAAUCCACUCCCACGUUUUUCUAAAGCCCAAGGAGAGGGUGAGAGAGGGAGAGUUGGCUCAAGGGAAGGGAGGUAGAGAAGUAAGAAGAAGAAGAAGAAAAAAGGGGAAAGAGAAGGAAUUCUUGAAGGUGAAGAAGCAGCUUACGACGGGGAAGGUUAUCCCGAAGACAAUCAAGAUGAAGUUUUAGAGCCGUAGUUCACUUGAAAACUUGGACUAGUAGUUUGUUUUUGUGUUCUCUCUUCUUUUACCUUUUGGUUUGACAAUGUUUGUAAACCUCUAGUGGAACUCAAAUCAGUUAUCUAUGUUAUAACUCUGCUUGUAUGUGUAUAUUAACAUAUUGUGGUUAUCUCUUUUGUUUGAGUUGUACUUUAUAUA
This is a non-coding RNA of Camellia sinensis, 403 nucleotides long. NCBI's taxonomy places the organism in Eukaryota, Viridiplantae, Streptophyta, Magnoliopsida, Ericales, Theaceae. The record is from RefSeq and is a predicted model, not a curated record.